This 72-nucleotide transfer RNA is filed under the name Ornithorhynchus anatinus (platypus). It matches the Rfam family "tRNA". Rfam says of the family: Transfer RNA (tRNA) molecules are approximately 80 nucleotides in length. Their secondary structure includes four short double-helical elements and three loops (D, anti-codon, and T loops). The record is from Rfam by way of RNAcentral. Lineage: Eukaryota; Metazoa; Chordata; Mammalia; Monotremata; Ornithorhynchidae.
GGUAGUGUGGUCUAAUGGAAAGAGCGGAGGACUGGGAGUCAGAGGGCCUGGGUUCUAAUCCCAGCUCUGCCA